Molecule: unclassified non-coding RNA, 608 nt
Filed under: Homo sapiens (human)
Lineage: Eukaryota; Metazoa; Chordata; Mammalia; Primates; Hominidae
Description: contactin associated protein 2 (ENSG00000278728.2)
Source: RNAcentral
ACCUUCAGCAUGACCAUUCUAUCAACUGUAUUAAAUGCUCUGAUUGUUCAAUGAGGUCUCUUCAGUGUGGUUGUUGGACUAUAAACAUCUCCCAGCCCUCCGUGAGCUCUGGUUUUUUGCCUGGCCUGUGGACUUUUAUUCUGUACAUGCACAUGCGUCAUUGCUGUGGUGAUUUUCACCAUCCUGUGCACCCUGGUCUUCCUGAUCCGGUACAUGUUCCGCCACAAGGGCACCUACCAUACCAACGAAGCAAAGGGGGCGGAGUCGGCAGAGAGCGCGGACGCCGCCAUCAUGAACAACGACCCCAACUUCACAGAGACCAUUGAUGAAAGCAAAAAGGAAUGGCUCAUUUGAGGGGUGGCUACUUGGCUAUGGGAUAGGGAGGAGGGAAUUACUAGGGAGGAGAGAAAGGGACAAAAGCACCCUGCUUCAUACUCUUGAGCACAUCCUUAAAAUAUCAGCACAAGUUGGGGGAGGCAGGCAAUGGAAUAUAAUGGAAUAUUCUUGAGACUGAUCACAAAAAAAAAAACCUUUUUAAUAUUUCUUUAUAGCUGAGUUUUCCCUUCUGUAUCAAAACAAAAUAAUACAAAAAAUGCUUUUAGAGUUUA